GAUGAGUAUUUAUUUACACAAUCGCAUUAUUAUUGACAGGUAAAUCACAACCUAACGUUCUAGGAUACUUAUAUCCCGUUGCAAAAAAUGUUCCGUAUUUCUGCCAGAAAAUACGAGCGACCACGCCUCCACCCCAUCUGGAUCCGCCGCCGACCGGCGUCCUCAACCACGCCAUCCACCGCCGUGCCGUCCUCCCCGCACCGCAGACUGCCUCCUCUCUGUCGUGUCCUCUUCCUCGCGCCGCCCGAGUCCUCCGCGCGCGGUUCGCCGACGCCGAGGCCCAGGCCAGCCUGCUCCGGGCCCGCGCCACCGACCGCGACGGGCUGCUCAGCACGCUCCUCGCCACCACGGGCAACGACCGGGAGGUGGAGGACGCGCGGGAGGCGGGGUAGCGUCAGAAUCAGCGCACGUCGGAUCCGGCAUGCUGCUCCGCUCCCUUCCCAAGUCGCCCUGGAUCUCGCGAUGCUGGAGGUGGCCGCCGUCGUUGCUAUGGAGGGCUCGCCACCCGCCUUCGGAGUCCCAUGUCCCCGAGAUCGACUGGAUUGCCAAGCCGAGGUCAUCAUCUUUCGACAGGCUCCUCCAUCACUUCUGGUUUCCCACAGUGGCUAUGGGCUGCCUCUCCCUCUCGAUCCUGCGCUCCUCCUCCUCCGGUUCAGGUUUCAGGCCGUGGCAGAGGGUCGCCUCUCCAUAUCCAUCCUUCCAAUCUGGAGCACAGGUGGAGAGCCUGGCUGUGUGCGGCGGAGAUGGCGCCCGCAUCUGCGCCCUAUAAGCCCGGACAAAGCUCCUCCGAGGCCAUGACCUCCGCAGGUAUCGAUCUAAAAAAGGCCGACAACCCAAUGGAACCUCUCCCUGUCUCUUUCUUCUGCAUCUUCCUCAUACUAUCCACUGGAAUCUUAGUUUUUGUUGUUAGAAUAAAUCCGAGGCAUACCGUCGAUCAUCCGAGGACCAAGCAAUCACACGAGCACAACACCGAGAUUUGUUAACGAGGUUCACCGAUAUGGCUACAUCCCCAGGGCUUGACUACGGACGCUCCUCCCCGUGACACCGUCACAAUACCGCACUCUGGCCACCCGGGCGCCGGCACACGCCGCCGGCUCCCCCUUGCGCGCCUGUGCUAUUAUGUUGGCAUAGGUUACAUCGUGUGUCUACCCCCGCUAUAUAUGAGAGGUCUAGGAUACAAGUGUCCUACUAGAACACGACUUCAUACCCUGUAAACACAAUACAACUACAAGUCCAACUGUAACCUACCUUGUACACAAUAUUCGACACAACUCUAACAUUUGUAGUUAGCUAGCAAAGACUCAAUUGCUGCAUUUUUUGACUGUACAUCUUCAUAUAGGAUUCGAUAGCCAUGCCCUGGAGAGAAAGCUCACAAAUUAGUGCAGUUAACAAGAAGCAAUUGAACCGAAGAUCUUACAAGAUGGCUUGCAAAUCUAGGUAUCAAACAGAAUUUCGGUAAUAUAUAUUAUGUAUACGGUACUUGGAAGGGAUGCUUACCAGGUAAAUACCACUUAAAAUCUAGGUCCAGUAACUAUCCAGUUGCAGAUUCACUGCAAGUUUGUGCGACAGAUAUACAUAUAUAUAUAUAUAUAUAUAUAUAUAUAGAUCAACUAGGAUUUAGGUUUAACUCUAUGGUACAAUUGAAAGACUAAGGAGAAGAGGGUGGAUUGUACUACCUGAUUGCUUGCUGUACAUCCGAAAGAGAUUCAGUUGCUCUGAAUAUUCUGAUUUGCCACAUGGUCGCCGGUGUGAAUAGCGCCUUCAUGAGCGAAUCUUUUAAUGACGUAAUUACCAUCCAGCCAUCCUGCCUUUCCAACGAACAACAUACAAGCUUUGUUCUCUGAAGUUUAAGAAUAGUGCAACCAUCUUGCCUUUCCAAAGAAUAACAUAUAUAUUAUUAACCUUAAUAGUGCAGCCAGCUAGCUGUAGUGCACUUAUCUCUAAGCCCAGCUCCUCUUUAAUCCAUAAACUUAUCCGUAACCAAAGGCUAGACGUAUAUUCAACUAAUUCUAUUCAUUGAGUUGAGUUUCUUACUUCGGUAUGGCAUGAGGUAUAGUAAGUUCCAUUUCAAUGUUCCAGGGACCACUUCCAGUAAGUUUCCACUCGACAUCAGCAGUAAUGUCCACUACCUGUAUCAGCAUGGUUAUAGCGGUAGAUAAUCAGGGCAAAUAUCAUAAGCAAAUUACAACUUUAGAAUCUCUGAAUUCUAAUAGAUUUCUAAUAUCCUUCAAAACAUGAUGUGUGAGCGCUCUUUAGAUAUUCCAGUAAGUUUCUUUCUACAGGUGUUCUUACAUCUCCUGAAUGGAUGAUUCUCUUUGCAUUUCGGCCGCUUGGCCCACUUCCGAUGAUCCACUACAUCAUCACUGUUUGGUAACCGGAGGGGAGGCCGCAAGGCGGGACAGCCAGUAGCGGCAUUUUGUUCGGGGAUGCGUGGAUCUGGUGAUGCUGGAGCUUGGGAACAGGAAACAUCAUAUCCGCAAUGGCGUUUCAAAUAGCCAAUUUACCUUUCUCCCUAAAGGAUUCUUGCUCUGCUGUCAGUAUCACUGGUCUUGGGGUUUAGAUUUUGUCAAUAUCAAAAUCUGGGUACUUACCAGCAAACGAGUUGUUGAUCUAUUUACUUAGUCAAGUUCAUUUCUGCUAUGUUCUUCAGUCAAGCUUCAACUUCUAGCCUUGAUUAAAUGGCAAUGAUAUUCUCCAAAACCUACUAAUGUCAGAAAUCCUGCUACCCAACAGGAUGGUCUGCCAAGUGAUGUGAGCACUACUCAGUGUGUGGCAGACGUUCAUUAGGAAUGCAAACAAGAUUUGAGAUGUAGGUGUUGGUCAAAUUUUGGAAAAUUAUGGGUCUGCAGGUACAAAAUUACAUGUAGGCAAUUUUACGGUUUUCUGAGAUUAAAGAUUCAAGCAUGAAUGUGAAUAUAGUUCCAUGGUUUUUUUGCUGACAGGUUUUCUUAUAUUUACUUCUCUUUGUAUGAUAUUGGAAUUUAUAUGCUUACUUAACUGCUCAAAGAUAUCUGUUUUGUUUGUCGAUUGGAAGUUACCACAUUAAGCUUGAGUCCAUGUGAAUUGACACACUGUUUGGAACAAAAUAAAACUUAGUACUGUAGUACAGUUUGGUGGUUAAAUUACUCCUUACCUCGACAUUCUAAUAAUCUGUAAUAAGGAUAGUUCGCAUUGGUCAUGCAAGAUCACUUGCGGGAAAUUGGUGGCUUGCUGUUGUUGUGCUUCACAAUUUCUGUUGUUUCUAUUUAUUUUACACUUUUUUAUUUACUGCAAUUUGCAAAACAGAAGUACUAGCAUAACUGGAAUUUCUGUUUGUGUUUUUUACAGAGGGAACAUAGUUUGAUGGGACAGCUCCUGAAUCAAUGUCACAUAAGGCAACAACAUAUUUGGAGGAGUUGAAGGAGUUGAGAUGAGUUGAUCACAUCCUCAUGUGUCUUUGCAUGUUGCAACAGGGGUGGUGUACUUUUUUUUAUAGCAACAUUCCUACUUUAGAUAGAAGAACUUAUGGGGCACAUCAGAUGUACUGACCACUCCUUAGUCCCAAGAACGGGAGUAACAAUUUUUCUCAAGUUCUGCUGAUGUAUUGUACUAGAAGUCUGUUCAUCAAACUGCCUUAUCAACCAUUUGCUAUUAACCCUCAAA
Molecule: long non-coding RNA, 3642 nt
Organism: Triticum urartu
Lineage: Eukaryota; Viridiplantae; Streptophyta; Magnoliopsida; Poales; Poaceae
Source: RefSeq, a predicted model, not a curated record